GACGAACGCUGGCGGCGUGCUUAACACAUGCAAGUCGAACGGAAAGGCCCUGCUUUUGUUGGGUGCUCGAGUGGCGAACGGGUGAGUAACACGUGUGUAACCUGCCCUUGACUUUGGGAUAACUUCAGGAAACUGGGGCUAAUACCGGAUAGGAUCUCCUGCUGCAUGGUGGGGGUUGGAAAGUUUCGGCGGUUGGGGAUGGACUCGCGGCUUAUCAGCUUGUUGGUGGGGUAGUGGCUUACCAAGGCUUUGACGGGUAGCCGGCAUGAGAGGGUGACCGGCGACAUUGGGACUGAGAUACGGCCCAGAGUCCUACGGGAGGCAGCAGUGGGGAAUAUUGCAGAAUGGGAGGAAGCAUGAUGCAGAAACGCCGCGUGCGGGAUGACGGCCUUCGGGUUGUAAACAGAUUUCGAAUGUGACGAAGCGUGAGUGACGGUAAUGGGUAAAGAAGCAACGGCUAACUACGUG
This 468-nucleotide ribosomal RNA is filed under the name uncultured bacterium. Its description in RNAcentral is "partial 16S ribosomal RNA". It matches the Rfam family "Bacterial small subunit ribosomal RNA", at positions 28 to 507 of the family's 1533-position model. The record is from RNAcentral.